UCUGCUCCAAUUCAACAUGGCCCUUCGUUUCUUUGUGCUUUGUUGUGUAUUUUUCACUUUUGUGGCACUAUACGAAGGUAUGUUAGGUCUUCCAUUCUGAGGUCCAUUUUAGUAAGAGUUAGAAUGCUUUGCAGAAAUACAUAUUUUUAUAUGAGCUUCUUUAUAAUUUUAUGUUUUGGUUGAAUUUAAAAGCUUAUUUAGAGAAUAGAAUCAAAAUAAAAGUCUCCUUUUAGUCUUUCUGUAUUUUUAAAAAUGUUUAUGUCAUUGCUAGACUUAAAAAUAAAAAGAAACCCCUCAGUCAAAUGGUUUUAUGGGUCUUUACAAACUUGUUUUUAAUUUUACAAUCCUAUCUCUUUUUUAUACAUGGAAUAUUUACUUUUUACAUGUAAGAGAUCCAUCUUUUACGCAUAAGAGAUCUAAAAUAAAAGUUUUCUUAAUUUCAACAUUUUAUAUAUGGCCAUGAUAUCUUAUUUCCUCAGUCUUUCACAAUGCACGUUUUUGUUAUAAUUUUUGUUGUUUUUAUGAGCCGUUUAUAUAUUAAAGUUCUUUCACGUAAACAAACGAAUAGUUAGAGCUUAAUUCUUUAAUUUGGUUAUUUAAAUGAACUAUCAUUCUCACGUCUCAUCAAAUUUGAAUUACUGAAGAAGAAUGAGGAAAAAAAGGUCUCAGUCUCUGAUGGCCAUGAAUAUUAUCCUAUCUUGACUAACACGUACGAUUCUCCUGAUAUUUCUUGAUAAACUAAUCUCAAGCGAAUCUAAAGAAAAGGAAAUUCAUUUACUCGUACAUGUGUUUGGAUGGAAAUUAAAAAAGAAGGCUAAAAAGGGAACAACAUUCCUUCAAAAAUAUCUUUCCCAUUUGCUAUACAUACAACAACAACACAUAUCACAUUUUCUACUCUUACCUUUUAUUUUAUGUUAACAAUAUAGUCCCUUAGUAAUAAAUAAGGAUUUAUUGAAGUUAUAUAUACUUGUAAUUUUACGCAAUCAACAACAACAACAACACAGUAUAAUCUCAUUUAGUGGGGUCUGGAGAGGAUAGUGUGUACGCAGAUCUUACCCUACCCUGGGGUAGGGAGGUUGUUUACAAAUAUACCCUCGGUAUCCUUUCCUCCAAGAACUUCUCAUAUUGCUCUUGGGAGACUUGAACUCACAACCUCUCGGUUACGCAAUCAAUACAGUUUAAUAGCUAUUUUUAUCGAGUGACAGGGUCAACUUUUUUCUAAAAUGAAAUAUAAAUGACAUGGCAGGUGUAAAAGACCCAUGCAGACCUCAAGAUGGUCCGAUCCCAGUGAUUCCAAAGAGUAACUCUACUACUAAAGGAUGUGUACCCUUCAAUUAUAUGGGUUUAAAUUGUUCAUGCUGCUCUACUACUCCUGGAGUUGGUUGCUUUGAUACUUGGGCUGCUUGUCUUAACAGUAAAUGUCUUCCUACUGGUCCACCAGUUCAUGAACUCUCUUGAAGAUAAUAUAAUGUUUCCCUCUUUACUUUUACUUUUCUAGGGGAAUAUUUGAAAUUCAAAGAUUUACUUGUAUUGGAAUAUAGAAAUUUUGUUGCUUGAGUAUACGUACGUAAGGAAAAGACAAGUGGCAG
This 1589-nucleotide long non-coding RNA is filed under the name Nicotiana benthamiana. RNAcentral's name for it is "long non-coding RNA (NBEN_LNC010119)". Lineage: Eukaryota; Viridiplantae; Streptophyta; Magnoliopsida; Solanales; Solanaceae. The record is from RNAcentral.